UAUUGUCUCUAGAAGUUUCCUAUCCACCGCCAUAAAAAUCCCGUUCCCUCUCUCCUCUGCUUCCCAAAGCCUUAACAACCAUGUCAAACACUCAAAAAAGUCCCACUUUUUUUAAGUUCCAACACUAACCCACUUUACAGAACUCUCUCAAAAACUCUUAUUUUACUUCACUUCACAACAAUACCAUUACCAAGUCACCAGACUCUCCUGAAAUUUCACUGAAUACUCUGUCUUUGCGACUCUAAAGCCUCAAAAUUUCUCACUUUUUUUAAAGUUCUGACACAACACCCAAUUCAGAAAACUCUCUCAAAAACUCAAAUUUUGCAUCAAAUUCUCCAACAAGACUCUGUUACUGUUACUGUUACUGUUUCGAUCCUAGGGAAAACAGAGCAAUGGAGGGAGUGAUGGUUAAGGAAGAAGAAACGGUGACGUACGGUGUGGGAUCAUCGUCCUCUUCAUCUUCGUGCAUUUCACCGCAACCAAUGGAGGGGUUACACGAGGUUGGCCCGCCUCCAUUUCUGACCAAGACCUUUGAAAUGGUGGAAGACCCAGCAACUGACUCGAUCGUGUCGUGGAGCGCAGCUCGCAAUAGCUUCGUUGUUUGGGACUCUCACAAAUUCUCCACCACCCUUCUUCCUCGCCACUUCAAGCACAGUAAUUUCUCAAGCUUCGUUCGCCAGCUCAAUACAUAUGGUUUCAGAAAGGUUGAUCCUGAUCGAUGGGAAUUCGCAAACGAAGGGUUUCUGGCAGGGCAAAAGCAUCUAUUAAAGACCAUCAAAAGAAGAAGACAUGUCACACAGGGUACGCAACAACAAGGAGGAGGAGCUUGUGUUGAAUUGGGACAAUAUGGGUUAGAAGGUGAGCUUGAGAUAUUAAAGAGAGAUCGAGGCUUGCUAAUGGCUGAAAUUGUGAGGUUGAGGCAGCAACAACAGAAUUCAAGGGAACAAAUGAUUGCAAUGGAGGAUAGGUUACAGACCACAGAGAGGAAACAGCAACAGUUAAUGAAUUUUCUUGCUAAAGCACUCAAUAACCCAUCCUUUAUCCAGCAAUUUAGUCAGAUGAGUGCUCAAAGAAGAGGACUACAGGGUGUUGAAAUUGGACGAAAGCGUAGACUUACUGCAAGCCCAAGUGUGGAGAAUUUGCAAGAAGAAGACGUGUCUGUGUUGGCAGGCAGUGACCAAGUUGUGGACUUUACAAGCCAAGAUCGAGAAGAAAUGGCAACUAUGGAAACAUUUUUCUCAGCUGCCUUGGACAAUGAAUCAAGCAGUGAUAUCAAUGACCCAAUUGCAAGUUCAGUACCCACAAGAAGUGGUGCCAAUUUGGAUUCUGUCAAUGAGACCAUAUGGGAAGAACUAUUGAAUGAAGAUCUAAUAACUGAAAAUCCGGAUGAAGAAGCUGUGGUUGGUGAUAAGUCGGAAAUUGAUGUGGAAGUGGAGGAUUUGGUCGCAGAACCUGAUGACUGGGGUGAUGAUUUCCAAGACCUCGUCGAUCAAAUGGUUAUCUCAGGUCGAUGCCGUGACCAACCCCAUAUAUGAGAUGAUGAUGUUGUGGUAUUUUUUUAUGUUUGUGUUGGUCUCUGCAACUCUAUUCAUGUAUAGCCUCAUAAUAGGGAUGGUGAGAGUUGCAAAGAGGCCAACACAUUUUGCUCUUCUUCUGUAUCCUUUAAUGAUAAUUUAAUCAUCCAUAUAUUUUUCCAGCGAAACUUAGGAACAGUUAUUUAGGUAUCUUAGGAACAGUUAUUUAGGUAUCGUACUUCAGGUUCCCAAUAGAAUUCAAUCACAAGGUUAUAUUGACCAAUGAACCUCAUGAUUGAAUUCAAUUGUCAUUGUUCUUUGAAAAAGGUAACAUUGUCUUUGUUGCAUCAGUAACCAUGUGGUUGAAUUUUUGUUGCAUUAGUAGUCAUGUGAUUGAAUUUAGUUGGGAAACAUAAGGUAUAGCAUCUAAGGAAUUAUACUUAAGGCUUGUCCAUUUUAUAAUACCUUCUAGUGUGCUUUGAAUCUGUUCACAGGCUUAUGAUUUGUUGUUUAUGUUCUGCAUUUUGCAGGCAGUCUAGCCAACGGAAAUUUGUAUAAGGAGGGCAUUAAGCAUUGACUCAUUCCCAAGCUACAGCUACAGUCUCUGCUGUAUAUAUGCAUGUUUGAUACCUUGCUCAAUUAUCGUGGCUGGGAAGUUCCAAUUCAUUAAUUUGUAUAUGUAGAUAUCAGCUACGCGUAGAAACUUCAUCCAUGCAGAUGUUAGCUAUGUACAGAAAGUACGCAAACGUUUUUUGUCAUUUUCUCCUCGGAUGUAGAUAUGGAUUUCUUGUUACUAGUUUGUUAUAUGGCUUGCAUUACUAUUAUUUAUGUUGUUAAUGAGCUGUUCUCGGUUUCUGAAUGUAGUCUCUAUUUUUGCUGGCUGACUAAUAUGGCUUUCUCAGUUUCUCUUACAGAGUUACAAUGUGUUUCAGCUCAUUGCUUGGUGCAUAAUGGCUAUAAGGUCUGUGCGUAUUUGGCCAAGCUGCAAUUAAGGAUUUAUAUUCUUCUUGGUAAGUUUAGACUCAUAACUCGUUAGAAUAAGCACUACAAACACAUUUUUAUUUUUGGGUUGACUGUGGCCCGGAUACCCUGUGAACUAAGAUCUGUAUGCAAGCUGGUUUAGCUUUCUGCAACUAAUGGACAGGAAAGUUUGGUCUUGUUUCUGUCUCCGCAAUAAUUAUUUAUUGGCUUAGAUAUAUGCAUUUUCCCUAGUGUGUUACAGAUUGUAAGAGGCUGUGGGAUCCAUACACUAUAAAAAG
This is an RNA transcript of Quercus lobata, 2773 nucleotides long. It is a transcript of the gene named heat shock transcription factor A2, with no coding region annotated. The record is from RefSeq and is a predicted model, not a curated record. Lineage: Eukaryota; Viridiplantae; Streptophyta; Magnoliopsida; Fagales; Fagaceae. The transcript is spliced from 3 exons.